CUGGUAUGACUGGUUUUACUGAUUCCUCCCUCUUGAAGAACUGUAAUGCCAUUAAUUUGGUGUUGCAGGGAAUCAGGACUGUUACUUUGAAAAAUUAGAGUGUUUAAAGCAGGCUUUAGCUUGAAUACAUUAGCAUGGAAUAAUGAAAUAGGACGUUUGAUCCUAUUUUGUUGGUUUCUAGGAUUGACGUAAUGAUUAAUAGGGAUAGUUGGGGGCAUUAGUAUUCAAUUGUCAGAGGUGAAAUUCUUGGAUUUAUUGAAGACUAACUACUGCGAAAGCAUUUGCCAAGGAUGUUUUCAUUAAUCAAGAACGAAAGUUAGGGGAUCGAAGACGAUCAGAUACCGUCGUAGUCUUAACCAUAAACUAUGCCGACUAGGGAUCGGAUGAUGUUAAUUUUUUAAUGACUCAUUCGGCGCCUUACG
Molecule: ribosomal RNA, 422 nt
Filed under: uncultured Glomeromycotina
Lineage: Eukaryota; Fungi; Glomeromycota
Description: SSU rRNA
Rfam family: Eukaryotic small subunit ribosomal RNA
Source: RNAcentral